This is a long non-coding RNA of Alnus glutinosa, 752 nucleotides long. RefSeq lists it as uncharacterized. NCBI's taxonomy places the organism in Eukaryota, Viridiplantae, Streptophyta, Magnoliopsida, Fagales, Betulaceae. The transcript is spliced from 3 exons. The record is from RefSeq and is a predicted model, not a curated record.
ACGCACUCUCUCCAUUUUUCCUCUUCUUUUCCUUUUCUUUCUUCUUUCUCUUUUCUUCUUCCUUCCCCUCCAGCAACCCACACGCCCGACACCCCUUCUUCUUCUUCUUUUCUUCUUCUUCCUCUUCGAUCACGCCCAGCCAGUAGCCCUUCCCCUUCCUUCUUCUUCUCUUUGUCCCUUUCCCCCUCACACACACACCCAGCCCAUGAGAGACCGAUUGAGAGAGAGAGAACCGGUGUAGGCUCGGGAACCCACCGAACCCAUGGAACCACACCUUGAGAAGGCCUGAUCUUGCAGUUGUCCGGCAGGUGGUGGUGCGGUUUUGGAGCGCGGUGGUCAGGCCAUCGUCUGGGCGUGGAGACAGCAGCUAGGGCCGUGAAUUCCAGCCCUGUUCCGGGUUGUGUCAUAAUUGGAGACUUCAAUGGGUUCUUCAAAGUAGAGUUGGAGUCGUGAUUCCAAUGCAGCCAGAUGAUGUCCUUUUGGCUGCAGGUACUCUGGUCGUAGUUGAUGGGGUUGUAGACGUGCAUUUGGGAUAUUAUGACUGGAGCUUGCCGCGACGGUCGUAAAUGCGGGACCAGGGGCGUCCUCAAUUUUAUAGGUUUUGUUAUGGCUUGUGACACAUGUGUCACUCGUUAUUGUAUAAAGCCAUUUCUGUUAUGUAUUUAUAUUGAGGAAAGAUUUAAACACAUAGAUGUUAAAUGGAUCUUGUUGUUAUUAAUUUAUGAUAGAUGUUUAAGAUGUGAUUUCCGCUA